RNAcentral lists this ribosomal RNA (497 nucleotides) under uncultured bacterium. RNAcentral describes it as "partial 16S ribosomal RNA". It matches the Rfam family "Bacterial small subunit ribosomal RNA", at positions 28 to 507 of the family's 1533-position model. The record is from RNAcentral.
GAUGAACGCUGGCGGCGUGCCUAAUACAUGCAAGUCGAGCGAACAGACGAGGAGCUUGCUCCUCUGACGUUAGCGGCGGACGGGUGAGUAACACGUGGAUAACCUACCUAUAAGACUGGGAUAACUUCGGGAAACCGGAGCUAAUACCGGAUAAUAUAUUGAACCGCAUGGUUCAAUAGUGAAAGACGGUUUUGCUGGCACUUAUAGAUGGAUCCGCGCCGUAGGAGCUAGUUGGUAAGGUAACGGCUUACCAAGGCAACGAUGCGUAGCCGACCUGAGAGAGUGAUCGGCCACACGGGAACUGAGACACGGUCCAGACUCCUACGGGAGGCAGCAGUAGGGAAUCUUCCGCAAUGGGCGAAAGCUUGACGGAGCAACGCCGAGUGAGUGAUGAAGGUCUUCGGAUCGUAAAACUCUGUUAUUAGGGAAGAACAAAUGUGUAAGUAGCUAUGCACGUCUUGACGGUACCUAAUCAGAAAGCCACGGCUAACUACGUG